Molecule: ribosomal RNA, 328 nt
Filed under: Clostridioides difficile
Lineage: Bacteria; Bacillati; Bacillota; Clostridia; Peptostreptococcales; Peptostreptococcaceae
Description: partial 23S ribosomal RNA
Rfam family: Bacterial large subunit ribosomal RNA
Source: RNAcentral
UUACAAGCUGUGGAAGCACAUUUCUUGUGUGACCGCGUACUUUUUGUAGAACGGGCCAACGAGUUACGUUAAGUAGCAAGGUUAAGCACUUAAGGUGCGGAGCCGUAGCGAAAGCGAGUUUUAACUGAGCGUUCAGUUACUGGACGUAGACCCGAAACCGGGCGACCUACCCAUGAGCAGGAUGAAGCGAAAGUAAAAUUUCGUGGAGGUCCGAACCCACGAGCGUUGAAAAGCUCGGGGAUGACUUGUGGGUAGCGGUGAAAUUCCAAUCGAGCCCGGAGAUAGCUGGUUCUCCCCGAAAUAGCUUUAGGGCUAGCCUCAAGGUGAG